This 429-nucleotide ribosomal RNA is filed under the name Actinomycetes bacterium. RNAcentral's name for it is "Actinobacteria bacterium partial 16S ribosomal RNA". It matches the Rfam family "Bacterial small subunit ribosomal RNA", at positions 355 to 776 of the family's 1533-position model. The record is from RNAcentral. Lineage: Bacteria; Bacillati; Actinomycetota; Actinomycetes.
UAGGGAAUCUUCCGCAAUGGGCGAAAGCCUGACGGAGCAACGCCGCGUGAGUGAUGAAGGUCUUCGGAUCGUAAAACUCUGUUAUUAGGGAAGAACAAAUGUGUAAGUAACUAUGCACGUCUUGACGGUACCUAAUCAGAAAGCCACGGCUAACUACGUGCCAGCAGCCGCGGUAAUACGGAGGUGGCAAGCGUUAUCCGGAAUUAUUGGGCGUAAAGCGCGCGUAGGCGGUUUUUUAAGUCUGAUGUGAAAGCCCACGGCUCAACCGUGGAGGGUCAUUGUAAACUGGAAAACUUGAGUGCAGAAGAGGAAAGUGGAAUUCCAUGUGUAGCGGUGAAAUGCGCAGAGAUAUGGAGGAACACCAGUGGCGAAGGCGACUUUCUGGUCUGUAACUGACGCUGAUGUGCGAAAGCGUGGGGAUCAAACAGG